Non-coding RNA from Phrynosoma platyrhinos (Desert horned lizard), 71 nucleotides. The record is from the annotation of a GenBank genome assembly. Lineage: Eukaryota; Metazoa; Chordata; Lepidosauria; Squamata; Phrynosomatidae.
GCCUUAGCGCAUAGUGGUUUGAGCGCUGGACUAAGACUCUGGAGACCAGGGAUCGAAUCCCAGCUCGGCCA